GGGCCAGUAGUUCAGUUAGGGAGAACGCCUGCUUUGCAAGCAGGAUGUCGUGGGUUCGAUUCCCACCUGUGUCCACCA
Molecule: transfer RNA, 78 nt
Filed under: Caudoviricetes sp.
Lineage: Duplodnaviria; Heunggongvirae; Uroviricota; Caudoviricetes
Description: tRNA-Ala
Rfam family: tRNA
About the family: Transfer RNA (tRNA) molecules are approximately 80 nucleotides in length.
Source: RNAcentral